Molecule: transfer RNA, 62 nt
Filed under: Cordylochernes scorpioides
Lineage: Eukaryota; Metazoa; Arthropoda; Arachnida; Pseudoscorpiones; Chernetidae
Description: tRNA-OTHER
Rfam family: tRNA
About the family: Transfer RNA (tRNA) molecules are approximately 80 nucleotides in length.
Source: RNAcentral
GCCGAAAUAGCUCAGUUAGACUGAAUAUCUAAAGGUCCCUGGUUCGAUCCCGGGUUUCGGCA